Molecule: unclassified non-coding RNA, 201 nt
Filed under: Hevea brasiliensis (rubber tree)
Lineage: Eukaryota; Viridiplantae; Streptophyta; Magnoliopsida; Malpighiales; Euphorbiaceae
Source: RNAcentral
UCGUCGGAGGCCGGUGCAGCCAGUUUCGCCGGAUGACUGUCAUAGCGACUGUGAUUCGUCUUCCUCGGUUGUUGAUGAUGAUGAGGUCUGUGUGCUUGCUUCUUUCCGUAGAGCUUUGCCCUUUGAUCUUAACUUACCGCCACCGAUGGACCUCGUGGAUUUAACCGGUGAUGAUCUUCAAGCUACUGCUUUAUGCCUCUG